AGUGAACGCUGGCGGUAGGCCUAACACAUGCAAGUCGAACGGCAGCACAGUAAGAGCUUGCUCUUACGGGUGGCGAGUGGCGGACGGGUGAGGAAUACAUCCGAAUCUACUUUUUCGUGGGGGAUAACGUAGGGAAACUUACGCUAAUACCGCAUACGACCUACGGGUGAAAGCAGGGGAUCUUCGGACCUUGCGCGAUUGAAUGAGCCGAUGUCGGAUUAGCUAGUUGGCGGGGUAAAGGCCCACCAAGGCGACGAUCCGUAGCUGGUCUGAGAGGAUGAUCAGCCACACUGGAACUGAGACACGGUCCAGACUCCUACGGGAGGCAGCAGUGGGGAAUAUUGGACAAUGGGCGCAAGCCUGAUCCAGCCACACCGCGUGGGUGAAGAAGGCCUUCGGGUUGUAAAGCCCUUUUGUUGGGAAAGAAAAGCAGCAGGUUAAUACCCCGCUGUUCUGACGGUACCCAAAGAAUAAGCACCGGCUAACUUCGUG
Molecule: ribosomal RNA, 492 nt
Filed under: uncultured bacterium
Lineage: Bacteria
Description: partial 16S ribosomal RNA
Rfam family: Bacterial small subunit ribosomal RNA
Source: RNAcentral